GACGAACGCUGGCGGCGUGCUUAACACAUGCAAGUCGAACGGAAAGGCCUGCUUUCCCUUGUGGAUUGCGGGUACUCGAGUGGCGAACGGGUGGGUAACACGUGAGUGAUCUGCCCCCAACUUGGGUAUAAGCCUGGGAAACUGGGUCUAAUUCCCGAUAGGACUGCAGGGUGGUGCCUGUGGUGGAAAACGAUUUUCUAGUGGUUGGGGAUGAGCUCGCGGCCUAUCAGCUUGUUGGUGGGGUAAUGUCCUACCAAGGCGGCGACGGGUAGCCGGCCUGAGAGGGUGGACGGCCACAUUGGGACUGAGAUACGGCCCAGACUCCUACGGGAGGCAGCAGUGGGGAAUCUUGCACAAUGGGCGGAAGCCUGAUGCAGCGACGCCGCGUGGGGGAUGACGGCCUUCGGGUUGUAAACUCCUUUCGACCGCGAGGAAGCCACCUGGUUGGAAGGGUGGUGACGGUAGUGGUAGAAGAAGCACCGGCUAACUACGUG
Molecule: ribosomal RNA, 494 nt
Filed under: uncultured bacterium
Lineage: Bacteria
Description: partial 16S ribosomal RNA
Rfam family: Bacterial small subunit ribosomal RNA
Source: RNAcentral